CGCACCUUGCGCUCCUUGGUAUUCCGAGGAGCAUGCUUGUUUGAGUGUCGUGAAAUUAUCAAACUCAUAUUUCUUUUUUGAAAUAUGAGCUUUGGAGUUGGGGACUUGCGGGGACUUGUCUCGGCUUCCCUUGAAUGCAUUAGCUGGACUUGAAAAAAGUAGCAUAUAUGCGGUGUGAUAAUGUCGUCACUGUGUAGUUACUUCUCAACUAGCUUUCUAAUUGUCCUUGUGAAGGGACACUUUGAUCAAUUUGACCUCAAAUCAAGUAGGACUACCCGCUGAACUUAA
RNAcentral lists this unclassified non-coding RNA (288 nucleotides) under Xylodon ramicida. RNAcentral describes it as "partial contains 5.8S ribosomal RNA, internal transcribed spacer 2, and large subunit ribosomal RNA". Lineage: Eukaryota; Fungi; Basidiomycota; Agaricomycetes; Hymenochaetales; Schizoporaceae. The record is from RNAcentral.